ACUUUCUCGUCCAAAGAAUAUAUAUUAAAUGCCAAACACCUCAUAAAAACUAAACCAAGUCCUGUCUUCCAACAAGCUAGCUCUCUGGUGUUGUAUUUUUGGUCUGCAUUUCAGAGAUGAAUGAUCCCAAAUAUGGCUAUCCAUAUCCUGCCCAGGGUGUUUAUCAAGGACCUCCAGUAAUGGCACCUCCUCAGUACUAUGCUGCUCCACCGCCUAAGCGAGAACCUAGUUUCCUUGAGGGAUGCCUUGCAGCUUUAUGUUGCUGUUGCCUCUUAGAUGAGUGUUGCUGUGACCCCACCAUUAUAUGUGCCUAAUUAUUCUUUAUAAUUAGCUACACUACACAGAAAAUGACGAGUUAUUUGUAAUAUAUUUUGUAUGUAAAGAAGUUUCAACAUAUAAUACAUAUGUGUGCAAUGCAUUCUGGUAUGGUAA
Alnus glutinosa is the source of this 432-nucleotide long non-coding RNA. RefSeq lists it as uncharacterized. The record is from RefSeq and is a predicted model, not a curated record. The transcript has 3 exons. Lineage: Eukaryota; Viridiplantae; Streptophyta; Magnoliopsida; Fagales; Betulaceae.